This 253-nucleotide ribosomal RNA is filed under the name uncultured bacterium. Its description in RNAcentral is "partial 16S ribosomal RNA". It matches the Rfam family "Bacterial small subunit ribosomal RNA", at positions 524 to 776 of the family's 1533-position model. The record is from RNAcentral.
UACAGAGGGUGCGAGCGUUAAUCGGAGUUACUGGGCGUAAAGGGCGCGUAGGCGGUUUAGUGAGUGUGGUGUGAAAGCCCUGGGCUUAACCUAGGAAGUGCAUCGCAAACGACUAAACUGGAGUAUAAGAGAGGGUGGCGGAAUUUCCGGUGUAGCGGUGAAAUGCGUAGAGAUCGGAAGGAACGUCAAUGGCGAAGGCAGCCACCUGGCUUAAUACUGACGCUGAGGCGCGAAAGCGUGGGGAGCGAACAGG